RNAcentral lists this ribosomal RNA (301 nucleotides) under uncultured bacterium. RNAcentral describes it as "partial 16S ribosomal RNA". It matches the Rfam family "Bacterial small subunit ribosomal RNA", at positions 509 to 807 of the family's 1533-position model. The record is from RNAcentral.
CAGCCGCCGCGGGAAUACGUAGGUGGCAAGCGUUGUCCGGAAUUAUUGGGCGUAAAGGGCUCGCAGGCGGUUUCUCAAGUCUGAUGUGAAAGCCCCCGGCUCAACCGGGGAGGGUCAUUGGAAACUGGGAAACUUGAGUGCAGAAGAGGAGAGUGGAAUUCCACGUGUAGCGGUGAAAUGCGUAGAGAUGUGGAGGAACACCAGUGGCGAAGGCGACUCUCUGGUCUGUAACUGUCGCUGAGGAGCGAAAGCGUGGGGAGCGAACAGGAUUAGAUACCCCUGUAGUCCCUGUCUCUUAUAC